RNAcentral lists this ribosomal RNA (588 nucleotides) under uncultured Rubrobacter sp. RNAcentral describes it as "bacterial SSU rRNA". It matches the Rfam family "Bacterial small subunit ribosomal RNA", at positions 338 to 918 of the family's 1533-position model. Lineage: Bacteria; Bacillati; Actinomycetota; Rubrobacteria; Rubrobacterales; Rubrobacteraceae. The record is from RNAcentral.
CCUACGGGAGGCAGCAGUCGGGGAUCUUGCACAAUGGGCGAAAGCCUGAUGCAGCAACACCGUGUGAGCGAUGAAGGCCCUAGGGUCGUAAAGCUCUGUUGUUAGGGACGAAGGGCGAAGGGUUAAUAGCCCUUAGCCUGACGGUACUUGUACAGAAAGCCCCGGCUAACUACGUGCCAGCAGCCGCGGUAAUACGUAGGGGGCGAGCGUUGUCCGGAAUUAUUGGGCGUAAAGAGCGUGUAGGCGGCUUGGUAAGUCUGCUGUGAAACCUUGGGGCUCAACCCCAAGCGUGCAGUGGAUACUGUCAAGCUAGAGGAUGGUAGAGGCCAGUGGAAUUCCCAGUGUAGCGGUGAAAUGCGCAGAUAUCGGGAGGAACACCAGUAGCGAAGGCGGCUGGCUGGGCCAUUCCUGACGCUGAGACGCGGAAGCUAGGGGAGCGAACAGGAUUAGAUACCCUGGUAGUUCUAGCCGUAAACGAUGAACACUAGGUGUGGGGGGAGUCGAAUCCCUCCGUGCCGAAGCCAACGCGUUAAGUGUUCCGCCUGGGGAGUACGGCCGCAAGGCUAAAACUCAAAUGAAUUGACGGGG